ACCCGUGAUCUCCAACUCUCACUGAAGCAGUUUGCAGCCGAGUGUGAAGCGGCUAGGAUGAGAAUCAGCACCUCCAAAUCUGAGACCAUGGUCCUCAGUUGGAAAAGGGUGGCGUGCCCUCUCCAGGUCGGGGAUGAGAUCCUGCCCCAAGUGGAGGAGUUCAAGUAUCUUGGGGUCUUGUUCACGAGUGAGGGAAGAAUGGAACGGGAGAUCGACAGGCGGUGCAGCGUCUGCAGUGAUGUAGCCUUUGUAUCGAUCCGUUGUGGUAAAGAAGGAGCUAAGCCGGAAGGCGAAGCUCUCGAUUUACCGGUCGAUCUACGUUCCUACCCACACCUAUGGUCACGAGCUGUGGGUCGUGACCGAAAGAACAAGAUCCCGGAUACAAGCGGCUGAAAUUAGUUUCCUCCGCAGGGUGUCCGGGCUCUCCCUUAGAGAGCUCGGUCAUCCGGGAGGAUCUCAGAGUGAAGUCGCUGCUCCUUCACAUCGAGAUGAGCCAGAUGAGGUGGCUGGGACAUCUGAUUCGGAUGCCCCCUGGAUGCCUCCCUGGUGAGGUGUUCCUGGCAUGUCCCACCGGGAGGAGACCCCGGGGACGACCCAGAACACGCUGGAGAGAGUACUGAAGAGAUGGAUGAAGUGGCUGGGGAGAGGGAAGUCUGGGCAUCCCUGCUAAAGCGACUCCCCCCGCGACCCGACCUCGGAUAAGUGGUAGAAAAUGUUCCCUCAGAUGGUACACUUCAUUGCACUGCCUAAACUCCCCUCGGCAAAAGAAACUGCUGAGGAGUUUAGGUGCUAUCGUCAGUCUGUCAUCUGGGUUUCAUCUCGGAACCAACGGACAAACGGAGAGGCUGAACCAGGAUCUGGAGACUGGGCGCCGAUGUCUCGCGUCACAGGAGCCACAAUCCUGGACUCAGAAGAUCAUUUGGGUCGGGUUCUCUAACAAUUGUGUCCCCUCUGCAUCCACUGGUCUAUCACCUUUUCACAUCGUGCCUGUUUACCAACCAUCUGUUUCCUGUCAUAGCCCCCCGAGUCCACAGUUCCAUCUGCAUUGGCCUUGGUGAGACGCUGCAGGAGGACCUGGGAGAAAGCCUGCCAAAUGCUGGUACGCCAAGGCCAGUCCUACAAGACUGCAGCUGACCGUAAGAGGACACCGGCCCCGAACUACAAGGUGGGUCAGCGGGUUUGGCUCUCCAGCAAGCAUCCAGCAAGGUGGAGUCCCGUCAGCUCGCUCCCAGGUUCGUUGGGCCCUUCCCCAUCACAAGGGUCAUCAACCCGAUCACCAUUAAGCUUAGGCUCCCGAGGUCGAUGCGCGUACACCCUGCAUUUCCCGUCAGCCUGCUCAAGCCUGCCCAGGAUUCCCCUCUGGUCCCGCCUUCCAGGCCCCCUUCACGGUCAGGCGGCUGUUGUCAUCUCGUCGGAGGGGGUCUGCAAUAUCUGGUGGAGUGGGAGGGCUACGUGCCAGAGGAACGUUCAUGGGUGCCUUCUAGAUUUGUUGUUGAUGACUCGCUCAUUCGGGACUUCCACAUUGCGCAUCCUGAGGCUCCAGGGCUGUCUGGAGCCGGCCGUUAGGGGGUGGGGGGUUACUGUCAUGGGUGUGUGUUAUGGUUGUUGUCUUCCCCCUACCUCGUACACACCUGUUCCUGAGAGCAUUUUGCCCACCUGUGCCUCGUUUACCCUAAUUACACAUGCAUACAACCUCGUGUCUCAUUCUUUCUGGUUUGCCAGUUCGUUGUACCCUGUUGUCACGUUCCAGCAUUCCUUAUUUUCAAGCCUA
Molecule: long non-coding RNA, 1771 nt
Organism: Phyllopteryx taeniolatus (common seadragon)
Lineage: Eukaryota; Metazoa; Chordata; Actinopteri; Syngnathiformes; Syngnathidae
Exons: 3
Source: RefSeq, a predicted model, not a curated record